UACGUAGUAAGCGAGCGUUAUCCGAAUUUACUGGGCGUAAAGUGGGCGUAGGCGGCCUUUCAAGUUGGAUGUGAAAUCUCCUGGCUUAACUGGGAGGAGUCAUCCAAUACUGCUAGGCUUGAGGACAGCAGGAGAAAGUGGAAUUCCCGGUGUAGUGGUGAAAUGCGUAGAUAUCGGGAGGAACAUCGAUGGCGAAGGCAGCCAUCUGGACCAGCACUGACGCUGAGGCACGAAAGCGUGGGGAGCAAACAGGAUUA
Molecule: ribosomal RNA, 257 nt
Filed under: uncultured prokaryote
Description: partial 16S ribosomal RNA
Rfam family: Bacterial small subunit ribosomal RNA
Source: RNAcentral